GAUGAACGCUGGCGGCGUGCCUAAUACAUGCAAGUCGAGCGAACAGAUGAGGAGCUUGCUCCUCUGACGUUAGCGGCGGACGGGUGAGUAACACGUGGAUAACCUACCUAUAAGACUGGGAUAACUUCGGGAAACCGGAGCUAAUACCGGAUAAUAUAUUGAACCGCAUGGUUCAAUAGUGAAAGACGGUUUUGCUGUCACUUAUAGAUGGAUCCGCGCCGCAUUAGCUAGUUGGUAAGGUAACGGCUUACCAAGGCAACGAUGCGUAGCCGACCUGAGAGGGUGAUCAGCCACACUGGAACUGAGACACGGUCCAGACUCCUACGGGAGGCAGCAGUAGGGAAUCUUCCGCAAUGGGCGAAAGCCUGACGGAGCAACGCCGCGUGAGUGAUGAAGGUCUUCGGAUCGUAAAACUCUGUUAUUAGGGAAGAACAAAUGUGUAAGUAACUAUGCACGUCUUGACGGUACCUAAUCAGAAAGCCCCGGCUAACUACGUG
This 497-nucleotide ribosomal RNA is filed under the name uncultured bacterium. RNAcentral's name for it is "partial 16S ribosomal RNA". It matches the Rfam family "Bacterial small subunit ribosomal RNA", at positions 28 to 507 of the family's 1533-position model. The record is from RNAcentral.